This 478-nucleotide ribosomal RNA is filed under the name uncultured bacterium. RNAcentral describes it as "bacterial SSU rRNA". It matches the Rfam family "Bacterial small subunit ribosomal RNA", at positions 25 to 507 of the family's 1533-position model. The record is from RNAcentral.
CAGGACGAACGCUGGCGGCGUGCUUAACACAUGCAAGUCGAACGGGGCGAAGUGAUAGCUUGCAUUAUGGAGCCUAGUGGCAAACGGGUGAGUAACGCGUAGGCAACCUGCCCUUCAGAUGGGGACAACACCUCGAAAGGGGUGCUAAUACCGAAUGACGUUUCCUGGUCGCAUGACCUGGAAACCAAAGGCCGGGCAACCGGUCACUGAAGGAUGGGCCUGCGUCUGAUUAGCUAGUUGGUGGGGUAACGGCCCACCAUGGCGACGAUCAGUAUCCGGUCUGAGAGGAUGAACGGCCACAUUGGGACUGAGAUACGGCCCAGACUCCUACGGGAGGCAGCAGUGGGGAAUAUUGGUCAAUGGCCGGGAGGCUGAACCAGCCAAGUAGCGUGAAGGAAGACGGUUUUCGGAUUGUAAACUUCUUUUAAGAGGGACGAUAAUGACGGUACCUCUUGAAUAAGCCACGGCUAACUACGUG